Gautieria morchelliformis is the source of this 95-nucleotide non-coding RNA. Lineage: Eukaryota; Fungi; Basidiomycota; Agaricomycetes; Gomphales; Gomphaceae. The record is from the annotation of a GenBank genome assembly.
GGCUUGAUGGUCUAGUAGCAUGAUUCUCCCUUCGGGUUUUCCCGGAUAGUUAUCCACCAUGGGAGAGGUCCCGGGUUCAAUUCCCGGUCAGGCCC